Molecule: ribosomal RNA, 465 nt
Filed under: uncultured bacterium
Lineage: Bacteria
Description: bacterial SSU rRNA
Rfam family: Bacterial small subunit ribosomal RNA
Source: RNAcentral
UGCAAGUCGAGGGGCAUCAUGGUUUGUGCUUGCACAAACUGAUGGCGACCGGCGCACGGGUGCGUAACACGUAUCCAAUCUACCCAUGGCUCGGGAAUAGCCUUUCGAAAGAAAGAUUAAUGCCCGAUGGUCUCAUUUUAAGACUAUCUUUUUAUGAGUAAAGAUUUAUCGGCGAUGGAUGAGGAUGCGUCCGAUUAGCUUGUUGGCGGGGUAACGGCCCACCAAGGCAUCGAUCGGUAGGGGUUCUGAGAGGAAGGUCCCCCACACUGGAACUGAGACACGGUCCAGACUCCUACGGGAGGCAGCAGUGAGGAAUAUUGGUCAAUGGGCGAAGGCCUGAACCAGCCAAGUAGCGUGAGGGACGACAGCCCUACGGGUUGUAAACCUCUUUUGUUUGGGAAUAAAGUGUCCUACGUGUAGGAUUUUGUAUGUACCUUACGAAUAAGCAUCGGCUAAUUCCGUGCC